This 379-nucleotide ribosomal RNA is filed under the name uncultured bacterium. Its description in RNAcentral is "bacterial SSU rRNA". It matches the Rfam family "Bacterial small subunit ribosomal RNA", at positions 521 to 898 of the family's 1533-position model. The record is from RNAcentral.
UAAUACGUAGGUGGCAAGCGUUGUCCGGAAUUAUUGGGCGUAAAGCGCGCGCAGGCGGUUUCUUAAGUCUGAUGUGAAAGCCCACGGCUCAACCGUGGAGGGUCAUUGGAAACUGGGGGACUUGAGUGCAGAAGAGGAGAGCGGAAUUCCACGUGUAGCGGUGAAAUGCGUAGAGAUGUGGAGGAACACCAGUGGCGAAGGCGGCUCUCUGGUCUGUAACUGACGCUGAGGCGCGAAAGCGUGGGGAGCAAACAGGAUUAGAUACCCUGGUAGUCCACGCCGUAAACGAUGAGUGCUAAGUGUUAGAGGGUAUCCACCCUUUAGUGCUGUAGCUAACGCAUUAAGCACUCCGCCUGGGGAGUACGCUCGCAAGAGUGAA